RNAcentral lists this transfer RNA (74 nucleotides) under Deltaproteobacteria bacterium. RNAcentral describes it as "tRNA-Arg". It matches the Rfam family "tRNA". Rfam says of the family: Transfer RNA (tRNA) molecules are approximately 80 nucleotides in length. Their secondary structure includes four short double-helical elements and three loops (D, anti-codon, and T loops). Lineage: Bacteria; Pseudomonadati; Myxococcota; Myxococcia. The record is from RNAcentral.
GCGCCCGUAGCUCAGGUGGAUAGAGCAACGGAUUUCUAAUCCGACGGUCGGGGGUUCGAAUCCCUCCGGGCGCG